UUGUCGUCAGCUCGUGUCGUGAGAUGUUGGGUUAAGUCCCGCAACGAGCGCAACCCUUGAUUUUAGUUGCCAGCAUUUAGUUGGGCACUCUAAAGUGACUGCCGGUGCAAGCCGGAGGAAGGUGGGGACGACGUCAAAUCAUCAUGCCCCUUAUGACCUGGGCUACACACGUGCUACAAUGGAUGGUACAAAGGGUCGCGAAGCCGCGAGGUGGAGCCAAUCCCAUAAAACCAUUCUCAGUUCGGAUUGUAGGCUGCAACUCGCCUACAUGAAGCCGGAAUCGCUAGUAAUCGUGGAUCAGCAUGCCACGGUGAAUACGUUCCCGGGCCUUGUACACACCGCCCGUCACACCACGAGAGUUUGUAACACCCGAAGUCGGUAGGGUAACCUUUAUGGAGCCAGCCGCCGAAGGUGGGACAGAUAAUUGGGGUGAAGUCGUAACAAGGUAGCCGUAUCGGAAGGUGCGGCUGGAUCACCUCCUUUCUAAGGAA
This 491-nucleotide ribosomal RNA is filed under the name Listeria innocua. RNAcentral describes it as "bacterial SSU rRNA". It matches the Rfam family "Bacterial small subunit ribosomal RNA", at positions 1049 to 1533 of the family's 1533-position model. Lineage: Bacteria; Bacillati; Bacillota; Bacilli; Caryophanales; Listeriaceae. The record is from RNAcentral.